GGGGGUGUAGCUCAGCUGGUUAGAGCGCCGGCCUGUCACGCCGGAGGCCGCGGGUUCGAGUCCCGUCACUCCCGCCA
RNAcentral lists this transfer RNA (77 nucleotides) under Rhodospirillaceae bacterium. RNAcentral describes it as "tRNA-Asp". It matches the Rfam family "tRNA". From Rfam's summary of the family: Transfer RNA (tRNA) molecules are approximately 80 nucleotides in length. Lineage: Bacteria; Pseudomonadati; Pseudomonadota; Alphaproteobacteria; Rhodospirillales; Rhodospirillaceae. The record is from RNAcentral. RNAcentral also lists the same sequence under 16 other names.